CCUACGGGUGGCAGCAGUGAGGAAUAUUGGUCAAUGGGCGAGAGCCUGAACCAGCCAAGUCGCGUGAGGGAGUACUGCCCUAUGGGUUGUAAACCUCUUUUGUCGGGGAGCAAAAGCCGGACGUUUCCGGCUGUGAGAGUACCCGAAGAAAAAGCAUCGGCUAACUCCGUGCCACCAGCCGCUGUAAUACGGAGGAUGCGAGCGUUUUCCGGAUUUAGUGGGUUUAAAGGGUGCGCAGUCGGAUUUUUAAGUCAGCGGUAAAGUCGUGGGGCUCCAACCCAUCCAGCCGUUGGAACUGGGGAUCUAGAGUGUGCGAGAGGUAUGCGGAAUGCGUGGUGUAGCGGUGAAAUGCAUAGAUAUCACGCAGAACCCCGAUUGCGAAGGCAGCAUACCGGUGCACAACUGACGCUCAGGCACGAAAGCGUGGGUAUCGAACAGGAUUAGAUACCCGAGUAGUC
This 458-nucleotide ribosomal RNA is filed under the name uncultured bacterium. RNAcentral's name for it is "partial 16S ribosomal RNA". It matches the Rfam family "Bacterial small subunit ribosomal RNA", at positions 338 to 795 of the family's 1533-position model. The record is from RNAcentral.